Long non-coding RNA from Heterocephalus glaber (naked mole-rat), 4530 nucleotides. The record is from Ensembl. Lineage: Eukaryota; Metazoa; Chordata; Mammalia; Rodentia; Bathyergidae.
GUCAGGGGCAGGCCAGCCAAUCAGCAUUUUUAAAAAGCCUCCUGAGUGAUUUCAGCAUUAAAAACCACUAGCAUGUGGGUAAUCUGACCUCUAGGCUUGAGCAAUCGAGGGGUCAGAAGGCCAGCUUGCUUGAAAGUAGGGAUAGUUCAAAAGCAUGUUUAAGCAAGUUUAAGAUAAAUUUAAACGUGAAAUGGAGAAGGGAAAGAAUUAUAAACCACAGCCUCAGGGAUUAUUUGGGUGUAGUGAGCAUUUUAGAUUGAAGGAAAGGGGAAUUUUUUUAAAUUGAUGGAAGUGUCAAAGAGUACAACUGAGAUAAAUUGAAAUUGAAAAUUCUUUCUGGGGCUGUUGUACACUAGGACCCUGUCAUACAUUUAUACUGAGCUUAAAAUAAUCCUAGAGACAUCUCUAUUCUUUUAAAAAAUGUUUAAUUUUGCAGUUCUCCACAUUGCUUUGUGGUAUGCAACUGUAAAAUUGGUUAGGGUCAUGCAAAAUGUGAAAUCUGAUUGGAUAGUAAUUAUCUUCAUUUACACAACACCCAACUGAAGGAAAUAACGAUCAUUUUUAGACUUUACAAAAUACAAGCUAAAAGUGAAAUUCUGCUAAAGUUAAUUUUAUAAAGAUUCUGAUUUUAUUUCUUUUUUUUUUGUUUAUAACUUGGAUGAGUUGGAACAAAAAAAUAGAAAAGUUUUGAAAGAAAUGGUGAAGGGACUCUAGCAAAGAAGGUGGCAGCAAAUGAAUGAGAAAAAUGACAGACGGCCGGGGAUUUAGCUCAGUGGUUCUGCCGCCCGCCUCAAAAGCACAUGGUCCCGAGCUGGAUCCCCGGUACUAAAAAAAGCAAUGCAAACCCAUACUGUCAAUAUACUUAUUGUACUUACUGGAUGAACAAAUGACCUCCAAAGAUAGGUCUAGUUUUGCAUGUUAGGAUGCUAUAAUGACUGAGGCAUUAGUAACGAAAUCAAACUUUUCUCGAAAAACACUCCCCAGACGUGUUUCCAAGUACUGCACCCAGCACCUCCCUGUAGGUAUUCUGAAAGUCCCUGAGCUCUCUGUCUUGCUUUCGGGCAGCCACCCACACUCCCACAUACUGAAGGAGAGGUAUCUAUCUGAGGGUCUAUGAAGAAAGGACUUUCAUUUGUUCAUAAGUUUUGGGCAGGUUCACCUCGGAGAAUCAAUCCCUAGAAUGAAGGGGAAAGCAACCAAAAAGAGCUCCAUUCUUUCAUCCUUUGGAAAAUGGAGUGGAAAGAGUAACUGCCUCUUACUGGUCCUUAAUGGGUUACUGCUCCAAAAUCAAAUGAGCAAGUUGGGAGAGACGAGUUUUCGCAGUGUCUUGUGGCUCUGCGCUCACCCACAGUACCCUCGAACAAAGCGCCCCGUUUGGCUUCUGUUUGCUGCGUCAGCGAGUACGCAGAGCCGCCUCCCCUACGCUGCCAGGUACUAAGCUCCAGGACCAACACCCACCAAUUCUCUGCUCUCGGGUUUGUGCCGAGAGAAGCCGACGGACAGACAGGUAAACUGCGUGACUCAUCAAGUGGGUAUAAACGCCAUCACGGGGAAUAAAAGGAUUACUGGAGAUACUAGCACGGGGCUCUGGGGCCAAAGUUACAUCAGCGUUAUGAGGAAAACUACUGCCCGCCCCUUUCCCGUUCAGGUCGCGGCGCGAACACGGAGCGCCCCUGCCCGACCGCUUCCUCCCACCUCCCCGACCAGCGCUCUACUGGCCGUGCACAAACCGCGCCAUCAGGCGGUCCCAGCCGCCCUGCCCUGCCUCCCUCCCCUCAGCGCCCUCCGGCACUCAUUUCUCACAGGAGGAAAAAGACGACGUCGUGAGAACUCGGACAACCUGGUCUCGUGCAAAAUUUUACAUCAGAAACAUAAACGCGAAGGAAGAAGAUACUAAAGGGGAAGUCGCCUACUGCCGCCUCUAAGGCUCAAUCCGAGCGAGAGCCAACCGACCAGGACACAAAACGGAAACCCGAGGGUCGCCCCGCUCCGCGACCCCGCCCCAUCUUUGUUCCCCUCGCGCUGGCCACGAGGCUCCAGACGCCCUCGCGACGCGGACACGCGCAGCAGCCAGCGCCCCGCCGCCCUCUCCUCGCGCGUGCCCGUCCGCGCCCGCCGUCCCCCCUCGAGCAGCCCGGGGUGGGCGCGGCCUCGGCGCCCGGGCGGGAAGUAGCGCCGUCCGCGCGGAAGGACACGCACGGCGUGGUGCGGCCUGCGCCUUUAUAUUACUCGGCGGCGGCUGUCUCGGGUUGGUCCGCGAGCUCUAAGUCCUGGAGCCCUGCUCUCCCCUCCUGCGGGUCGGCCCUGGUAGCUCCUGGCAGGUGUCAGUAGGCCAGGCCCGGAUUCCCCCAAACUUAAACGCUGGGCGCCCGAGUUUCGAUUUCUUCUGCUGCGAAACAAUGGUCGUUGGGAUUCGAAGUGAGAGAAUGCAGGGCAAAUCGCCUAACAGUAUUUAGCAUGCAGCAUCAGGGGACAACACUGCAUCCAAUCAACUCAUUUAAAUGGAUAGCUUGAACAGAAGCAGGAUUUCUCUCCACAGUUCUCGCAGUGGAAUCCUUGGGGAAAGAGGAAAAGAUUAAGUCAUCAUUUGAGUUUCUUCAGGCUCAACCAAAGGCUAACAAUUCACAGAAAUAUCUUGGAAUCAAAGAGAAGACUCUGGUGCUCUCACUGGCUGUUGUUUGGCACCUUGGAUAGCCAGGGCAGAGACACAAAACGAGAGCAAAGACUGUAGGAAACUUCCCUAAGAGAAGAGGGGAAAGAGAGCAUUUGGUUGCUUUGAAAUGGAUAUGUGGAAACCAGCCUCACUCGGGCAGCCUUUGCAGCCUUCUGCUGAGCUCCAGGCCCCUGCCUGGCAGCCUCUCACAGGUGACGGGCAGAAAGGGGAUUGUCUUUAGAAUCUGCACUGAAGCCACCGCCGCCUCUCCACCACUGAGAUCCAACUGGUUCCCUCUAAAAUGGCUUUUUAAAAUUUGCAAAUACAGAAACAGGCUGGGGAGAACCUAAGCAAAAGUGUACAUUUACUGGAUGAGUACUUGACCAGCUCAUGGAUUCCAAGAAGUUGACCAAGCCUCUCCCCCGAAGAGCAGGCACUGGGCAGUUCCUGGAAGCUGAGCGGCUGAACUCCACUGACCCCUCCAAAGGGCUGCCUUUAAUGACUCGAGUACCAACUCCCGAGGCUCAUCUACGGCCGCCUCACUGUGGAAAUCUAAAAAUUCUUCAGAGAUUCCCAAUGGCCUGCAUGGGCACUACAGUGUGGGCCUUUCCUUUUAAACUGAUCCUCUUUAAAAAUGGUUUCAGGCACUGCUAACCUCAGCUGAGUAGAUGGGGCUGUCGGAACCAGAUUCCGAUGCCCAGUGUAAAGAGUCAAAGUAGCAGCAGUCCCAACAGGGUAAAGUUUAAAAGAACCUAUUCUCUUGGGCAAGAUGCACUUUAAAAGUGUCUCUGCCUAGGGCUGGGGUGUGGCUCUGGUGGACUCACCCAGCUUGUCCAGGGUAGGGGUGGGAGGUUGUCUUCUGGUUUCUGGUGGCCUCAUUCAUUUAGUAAUUACUUCUAAAUAACCUGCUGUGAAUAAACCUAGACCUGUGUCUCGUGUGUGAGCAGUCUUAAGGGAUUCUGAGAGUAACUUUUCAUAUGAACACUGGAUUUUAAGCCCCUUCCCCUUGGAUGAGAAACCUACAGAUUUUGCCUGAGCAACGAGAGCACAUCCUUGUUAAGGUUAAGAUUUCACUGUCUCUGUUCAGAGCCUUCAUUAGGCUACAUCAGAGGACAACUGAGAUGGCUCUGCAAUUAACUGCAGCCAAGCGUCACUUGUUUUUAUAAUGUGACUUGGGUAUAACUGAAAAAUAACUCAUGCCUCUUUUCCUUUCCCUUCUGAACUGGAUAGAUAACUGCACAUAAGUUAACUUUUUAUUUUUGGUACUGGGGAUCAAACUCGGGACCUUGCACUUUCAAGGCAGGCACCAGAACCACUGAGCUAAAUUCCCGGCCCCCACAUAAGUUAAUUUUUUAAAAAAUUCUAGCUAUUUCCUCAAACCUGAGGUAAGAGCAGUUUAGAAGACAUUUAGCAGCCAAGCUCCCCAAGGGAGGCCAGGAACUUCUAACUGACAAGGGCUGCUAAGGCCGCAGAGUCUACCCAGAAUGCAUAUGCAAAGUAUCUGGAAAUUUGGUUUGGGCUUAGAUCUGAGCAAAUCUGAUGUUCUGGUAUGUUUGGAUUCUAAUUUGAAGUAGUUGCCUUAGGUGUUCUUAAAUUUUUUAAUUCAAAUUAAAGCAUUCAUUAAGAUUUAGCAAAUUAAGACUUGGUGUGAGUUGAGAUUUAAUUUGCUUCAUAAGGAUAUAAAGAUGUGAUUCAAAAAUCACAGCAGCCAGGAGGCUGGGUGAGUUGUCCCUUUACCUUGAAGAGGAGAUAUGGAUUGAGGACUAGAGUAUUUUAUUAUAGUUCACCCCUUGUGCUGCUAAAAUGUACUUGCUGCUUAUGAUAAGUUCACACAGUGCCCCACAAUUCCAGAAUUCUUGGGUGUUUGGUUUUUUUUU